ACGUAGGGUGCGAGCGUUAAUCGGAAUUACUGGGCGUAUAGCGUGCGCAGGCGGUUCGCUAAGACAGGUGUGAAAUCCCCGGGCUUAACCUGGGAAUUGCGCUUGUGACUGUUAGGCUAGAGUAGGGCAGAGGGGGGUGGAAUUUCAGGUGUAGCAGUGAAAUGCGUAGAGAUGUGGAGGAACACCGAUGGCGAAGGCAGCCCCCUGGGACGAUACUGACGCUGAUGCUCGAAAGCGUGGGUAGCAAACAG
RNAcentral lists this ribosomal RNA (251 nucleotides) under uncultured prokaryote. RNAcentral's name for it is "partial 16S ribosomal RNA". It matches the Rfam family "Bacterial small subunit ribosomal RNA", at positions 525 to 775 of the family's 1533-position model. The record is from RNAcentral.